This 484-nucleotide ribosomal RNA is filed under the name uncultured bacterium. RNAcentral describes it as "partial 16S ribosomal RNA". It matches the Rfam family "Bacterial small subunit ribosomal RNA", at positions 30 to 507 of the family's 1533-position model. The record is from RNAcentral.
AUUGAACGCUAGCGGGAUGCUUUACACAUGCAAGUCGAACGGCAGCGCGGACUUCGGUCUGGCGGCGAGUGGCGAACGGGUGAGUAAUGUAUCGGAACGUGCCCAGUAGCGGGGGAUAACUACGCGAAAGCGUAGCUAAUACCGCAUACGCCCUACGGGGGAAAGCAGGGGAUCGUAAGACCUUGCACUAUUGGAGCGGCCGAUAUCGGAUUAGCUAGUUGGUGAGGUAACGGCUCACCAAGGCGACGAUCCGUAGCUGGUUUGAGAGGACGACCAGCCACACUGGGACUGAGACACGGCCCAGACUCCUACGGGAGGCAGCAGUGGGGAAUUUUGGACAAUGGGGGCAACCCUGAUCCAGCCAUCCCGCGUGUGCGAUGAAGGCCUUCGGGUUGUAAAGCACUUUUGGCAGGAAAGAAACGUCGUGGGCUAAUACCCCGUGGAACUGACGGUACCUGCAGAAUAAGCACCGGCUAACUACGUG